CCUACGGGUGGCUGCAGUGAGGAAUAUUGGUCAAUGGGCGGAAGCCUGAACCAGCCAAGUCGCGUGAGGGAAUAAGGCCCUACGGGUCGUAAACCUCUUUUGCCGGGGAGCAAGGGCGGGGACGUGUCCCGGCCCGGAGAGUACCCGGAGAAAAAGCAUCGGCAAACUCCGUGCCAGCAGCCGCGGUAAUACGGAGGAUGCGAGCGUUAUCUGGAUUUGUUGGGUUUAAAGGGUGCGUAGGCGGGCUUUUAAGUCAGCGGUAAAACUGCGGGGCUCAACCCCGUACGGUCGUUGAAACUGGGGGCCGUGAGUGGGCGAGAAGAAGGCGGAAUGCGUGGUGUAGCGGUGAAAUGCAUAGAUAUCACGCAGAACCCCGAUUGCGAAGGCAGCCUUCCGGCGCCCUACUGACGCUGAGGCACGAAAGUGCGGGGAUCGAACAGGAUUAGAUACCCGAGUAGUC
This 460-nucleotide ribosomal RNA is filed under the name uncultured bacterium. RNAcentral's name for it is "partial 16S ribosomal RNA". It matches the Rfam family "Bacterial small subunit ribosomal RNA", at positions 338 to 795 of the family's 1533-position model. The record is from RNAcentral.